Molecule: long non-coding RNA, 413 nt
Filed under: Helianthus annuus (common sunflower)
Lineage: Eukaryota; Viridiplantae; Streptophyta; Magnoliopsida; Asterales; Asteraceae
Source: RNAcentral
UGUGUGUGCGCGUAGAUUGAGAGGGAGAAAGAGGGGCAAAGACCUUCAUCUUAUAAACACAAAAAAAUUCAGCAAUUAGGAAGGAAAUUGGUGAUCAAUCUUAUGCAUGAAGAUCAUCUCUUAACCAUCAAAGUGUGAAAGAAGAAGGAUCAAGCAAAAAGAGGUCACAAAGUUCAAACGAUCGAGGUAAAUCAUCGUGUUAGAUGGCACCAAGCUUGGAACUAACACAUCACUCUCAUAUCACGUUUCCGCGUUUCAUGUUCAAACGGGUCAAAAACAUUUUGUACUUAUGUUUAAGUUUAGUCGUACAUUUGUAAGAUUGUGUUUAAAAUUUAUUAUGUUAUUUACUAGUAAACUUUUAAGUAACUAACUUCGUUUGUAAAUUUUGGGUUUGUACAAGUUAAUGAAUGGCA